Long non-coding RNA from Chelonia mydas (Green sea turtle), 721 nucleotides. RefSeq lists it as uncharacterized. The record is from RefSeq and is a predicted model, not a curated record. The transcript has 3 exons. NCBI's taxonomy places the organism in Eukaryota, Metazoa, Chordata, Testudines, Cheloniidae.
AGCCCCAAUACCUUAACUAAUUUAGUAGUCAUACACUCCACUCUUCCCUCAGAGUUACUUCUUACCCUGUUUGGCUUGCUUACCUCUUAAGCCUUCAUCCUUGCCCAUCCACAGGCUCCUUUAGCUGCAGAUAAAGAGAACAAUAAUCUACGGCUGAAGAAACUAUUGGGAUAAAGAAAAUGUGGGCUCCAACUGCAGGAAGCUACCGUAAAUAGUAUAAGAAAAUUACCACUGGAUCCAAAAUUAUUUGGAAAGAAGCAUGUUUUGAAGGGAGAAGAGGGAAAGAGACUUCAACAGUUGUACAUGCAGUUUCUGGAAUACUAGAUAAAUAUAUUACAGCAGCCACACUUUACAGAUCAUAAGCAAGCUUGGAGUGGACGGGAAAUGUAAUUUUUUUUGUCAUGUCCAUGAGAAUUAAGAGACAUGUAUGGUAUCACAGUCUUACUUUCCUCUCUAAAAUAAGGUCAUUUGAAUAUUAAUAAUGCUGUAGAAACUUAAAACUGACACCUUUUCAAAUUGAAUUAGUCUUGCUCCAUCUAAACAGCUUUUCUUUUGUUUCAUUGUGUUUGUGUGUGGUGGGGGGAGAGUUGGCAACUUUUUCUUAAAAACUGAGGCAAAAUUGCUAACAUCCUGGUACCCUGGGUACAACAUGGGCACAUACUACAUUGGAAGCCUGAGUGCACACUUUUCUUUGCUCUGUAAAUGGGGAACAGUAAAACUA